AGGGCACAUGGUGGAUGCCUUGGCACCAGGAGCCGAUGAAGGACGUGGGAGCCUGCGAUAAUCCCUGGCGAGCUGGCAACCGAGCUAUGACCCGGGGGUGUCCGAAUGGGGAAACCCGGCGGCAGUCAUGUGCCGUCACCGUCACCUGAACACAUAGGGUGGUCGGAGGGAACGUGGGGAAGUGAAACAUCUCAGUACCCACAGGAAGAGAAAACAACAUGUGAUUCCGUGAGUAGUGGCGAGCGAAAGCGGAUGAGGCUAAACCGUGCGCGUGUGAUAGCCGGCAGGCGUUGCGUGUGCGGGGUUGUGGGGUUAUGUCGACCGUGGGCUGCCGCCCGUGGUCUGGAGUGAUCAAUCACUGGUGAAGUCGAAGGACUUGAGAGGUCCGGCGUAGAGGGUGUUACCCCCGUAGACGUAAGCGAGUGACUCCAGUGGCGUGAUACCCGAGUAGCACGGGGCCCGAGAAAUCCCGUGUGAAUCUGGCGGGACCACCCGUUAAGCCUAAAUACUCCCUGGUGACCGAUAGCGGACAAGUACCGUGAGGGAAUGGUGAAAAGUACCCCGGGAGGGGAGUGAAAUAGUACCUGAAACCAUGUGCCUACAAGCCGUCAGAGCUGCCCUUCGGGGUUGUGAUGGCGUGCCUUUUGAAGAAUGAGCCUGCGAGUUAGUGGUAUGUGGCGAGGUUAACCCGUGUGGGGGAGCCGUAGCGAAAGCGAGUCCGAAUAGGGCGCUUUUAGUCGCAUGCUCUAGACCCGAAGCGGAGUGAUCUACCCAUGGGCAGGGUGAAGCGGAGGUAAGACUUCGUGGAGGCCCGAACCGACCUACGUUGAAAAGUGGGCGGAUGACCUGUGGGUAGGGGUGAAAGGCCAAUCAAACUCCGUGAUAGCUGGUUCUCCCCGAAAUGCAUUUAGGUGCAGCGUCGCGUGUUUCUUGCCGGAGGUAGAGCACUGGAUGGCUGAUGGGCCCUACAAGGUUACUGACGUCAGCCAAACUCCGAAUGCCGGUAAGUGAGAGCGCGGCAGUGAGACUGCGGGCGAUAAGGUUCGUAGUCGAGAGGGAAACAGCCCAGAUCACCAGCUAAGGCCCCUAAGCGUGUGCUAAGUGGAAAAGGAUGUGGAGUUGCGAAGACAACCAGGAGGUUGGCUUAGAAGCAGCCACCCUUGAAAGAGUGCGUAAUAGCUCACUGGUCAAGUGAUUCUGCGCCGACAAUGUAGCGGGGCUCAAGCACACCGCCGAAGCUGUGACAAUCACACAAUAACCCAGCAUCUCCUUCGGGGGGUGUUCAGGUGUGUGGUUGGGUAGGGGAGCGUCGUGUGGCGGUUGAAGCGGCGGGGUGACCCAGCCGUGGACGCUACACGAGUGAGAAUGCAGGCAUGAGUAGCGAAAGACGGGUGAGAAACCCGUCCGCCGAAUGACCAAGGGUUCCAGGGCCAGGUUAAUCCGCCCUGGGUAAGUCGGGACCUAAGGCGAGGCCGACAGGCGUAGUCGAUGGACAACGGGUUGAUAUUCCCGUACCGGUUGUGGCGCGACCAUGCUGAGCCCGGUGAUGCUAACCAUCCGAACCCGUCUUGAUUCCUUCGGGAGUCCUGGUGGGGGAGCGUGGGAUCCGAACCGGUAGUAGGCAAGCGAUGGGGUGACGCAGGAAGGUAGCCCAUCCCGGGCGAUGGUUGUCCCGGGGUAACAGUGCAGGGCCGUGGUAGGUAAAUCCGCCACAGUAGCGCCCGAGGCUGGAUGCCGAGCCGAUUGCGGCGAAGUGGGUGAUCCUAUGCUGUCGAGAAAAGCCUCUAGCGAGUUCCAUAGCCGCCCGUACCCCAAACCGACACAGGUGGUCAGGUAGAGAAUACCAAGGCGAUCGAGUGAACCGUGGUUAAGGAACUCGGCAAAAUGCCCCCGUAACUUCGGGAGAAGGGGGGCCGGAUACGUGAACGGACUUGCUCCGGGAGCGUUGAAGGCCGCAGAGACCAGGGGAAAGCGACUGUUUAUUAAAAACACAGGUCCGUGCGAAGUCGCAAGACGAUGUAUACGGACUGACGCCUGCCCGGUGCUGGAACGUUAAGGGGACGAGUUAGCUCUUCGGGGCGAAGCUCAGAACUUAAGCGCCAGUAAACGGCGGUGGUAACUAUAACCAUCCUAAGGUAGCGAAAUUCCUUGUCGGGUAAGUUCCGACCUGCACGAAUGGCGUAACGACUUUCCCACUGUCUCAACCACGGACUCGGCGAAAUUGCACUACGAGUAAAGAUGCUCGUUACCCGCAGCAGGACGGAAAGACCCCGGGACCUUUACUAUAGCUUGGUAUUGGUGUUCGGUUCGGCUUGUGUAGGAUAGG
This 2326-nucleotide ribosomal RNA is filed under the name Jiangella alba. Its description in RNAcentral is "bacterial LSU rRNA". It matches the Rfam family "Bacterial large subunit ribosomal RNA", at positions 14 to 2147 of the family's 2925-position model. Lineage: Bacteria; Bacillati; Actinomycetota; Actinomycetes; Jiangellales; Jiangellaceae. The record is from RNAcentral.